This 490-nucleotide ribosomal RNA is filed under the name uncultured bacterium. RNAcentral describes it as "bacterial SSU rRNA". It matches the Rfam family "Bacterial small subunit ribosomal RNA", at positions 33 to 507 of the family's 1533-position model. The record is from RNAcentral.
GACGACGACGCUGGCGGCGUGGAUUAGGCAUGCAAGUCGAACGGUAUCAUCCUUUCGGGGGUGAGAGAGUGGCGAACUGGUGAAGUAACACGUAGGUUAUCUACCCUCAAGACGGGGACAACCCAGGGAAACUUGGGCUAAUACCGGAUGUGAGCAACUUUUAGUUGUUUGAAAGGUGGCGUAAGCUGUCGCUUGGGGAUGAGCCUGCGUCCUAUUAGUUAGUUGGUGAGGUAACGGCUCACCUAGGCAAUGAUAGGUAGGCGGCCUUAACGGGUGGUCGCCCACACUGGGAUUGAGAUACGGCCCAGACUCCUACGGGAGGCAGCAGUCGAGAAUAGUCUACAAUGGUCGGAAGACUGAUAGUGCGACGCCGCGUGAACGAUGAAUCCCUUCGGGGUGUAAAGUUCUUUUAUAUGUGAGCAGUGCUUCUUAUAUUAACAGUAUGGGGAGAGAGAUAUUAGCAUAUGAAUAAGCAACGGCUAACUCCGUG